GACGAACGCUGGCGGCGUGCCUAAUACAUGCAAGUAGAACGCUGAAGGAGGAGCUUGCUUCUCCGGAUGAGUUGCGAACGGGUGAGUAACGCGUAGGUAACCUGCCUGGUAGCGGGGGAUAACUAUUGGAAACGAUAGCUAAUACCGCAUAACAGUAGAUAUUGCAUGAUAUCUGCUUGAAAGGUGCAAUUGCAUCACUACCAGAUGGACCUGCGUUGUAUUAGCUAGUUGGUGGAGUAACGGCUCACCAAGGCGACGAUACAUAGCCGACCUGAGAGGGUGAUCGGCCACACUGGGACUGAGACACGGCCCAGACUCCUACGGGAGGCAGCAGUAGGGAAUCUUCGGCAAUGGACGGAAGUCUGACCGAGCAACGCCGCGUGAGUGAAGAAGGUUUUCGGAUCGUAAAGCUCUGUUGUAAGAGAAGAACGAGUGUGAGAGUGGAAAGUUCACACUGUGACGGUAUCUUACCAGAAAGGGACGGCUAACUACGUGCCAGCAGCCGCGGUAAUACGUAGGUCCCGAGCGUUGUCCGGAUUUAUUGGGCGUAAAGCGAGCGCAGGCGGUUAGAUAAGUCUGAAGUUAAAGGCUGUGGCUUAACCAUAGUACGCUUUGGAAACUGUUUAACUUGAGUGCAAGAGGGGAGAGUGGAAUUCCAUGUGUAGCGGUGAAAUGCGUAGAUAUAUGGAGGAACACCGGUGGCGAAAGCGGCUCUCUGGCUUGUAACUGACGCUGAGGCUCGAAAGCGUGGGGAGCAAACAGG
Molecule: ribosomal RNA, 763 nt
Filed under: uncultured Streptococcus sp.
Lineage: Bacteria; Bacillati; Bacillota; Bacilli; Lactobacillales; Streptococcaceae
Description: bacterial SSU rRNA
Rfam family: Bacterial small subunit ribosomal RNA
Source: RNAcentral